RNAcentral lists this unclassified non-coding RNA (945 nucleotides) under Hevea brasiliensis (rubber tree). Lineage: Eukaryota; Viridiplantae; Streptophyta; Magnoliopsida; Malpighiales; Euphorbiaceae. The record is from RNAcentral.
AAAAAUACUACUAUCUUUUAUAAUUUCAUAAAAUGAUAUAUAUUACAUGAAUACUGAAUGUGGUAUAGAUCAUUUUAUGGUGAACAAUACAACAACAAAAAAGGAGCUGGAGAAUGAACUGAAGCAGAACAAUUUUAUUCAGUUCCUUUUUUGCUUCUGAGGCUUCUGCUCUACUGGAGGCGGAAAUAGAACACGAAAAAUCCAUGCAGCCAAAAUUGCUCCUAUGAAGGGACUGAUCCAAUAAACAUAAAAGUGUUCCAAUGUCUUGUGUGUAUUGCUUAGGUAAGCCCAGCCAAAUGCAUUGGCUGGAUUCAUAGAAGGUCCAGUGAAGUUUGAACCUGCCAGUACCAAUGGUAGAGUUACCAUGGUGAGCAACCAAUUCUUGAGAAGUACACUUUCCGGACCCCUUAGUACAAUGACAAAGAUCAUAAAUGUGAUUACGAAGGUCAAGACACCCUCUGCAAUAGCUCCGGUUUGUACAUCCACCUUCAAAGCAGGCCCGUCAAGCAUGUGGUGAUAGUGUUUAGGCAUAAGCUCCACGAGUGCUAGUGAACCAGCAACUGCACCUGCUACCUGAGCAGGACAACGAACAGCAGCAGAGACAAGAGAAUCGUCACCAAGACCAGCAGCAUAAAAGGCAGCAUUUCCAGUUGGAUUGAAACCAGCACCACCCAAUACAUCACCAAGAAAAUCAAACAUCAAGAAAAUAACAAAAACAAUAAGGGUAGUGAUGAAAAGGGAUGGAAUUUCAUUGACAAUACCAAAAUAAGAAGCUAUGAAAUAAGUAGAAACCCCAAUAUUAGAGGAGCAAAAAACCCAUAAAAACGUCAAUAACCCAUCAGCAAUCGCUGCUUUAAUAACACCCAUCUUAUGUCUAAGGGGAGAUCGAUAGACAAGAGUCAACUCCCAAAUCCUACUUGAAUCAGUAGUACAAAUACAUACAAG